Mugil cephalus (flathead mullet) is the source of this 8017-nucleotide RNA transcript. RefSeq lists it as uncharacterized. Lineage: Eukaryota; Metazoa; Chordata; Actinopteri; Mugiliformes; Mugilidae. The record is from RefSeq and is a predicted model, not a curated record. The transcript has 8 exons.
AGGUGAACUACCCUUUCCAAACGGUAUAAAGAUCCUGGGCUGAAGGAGAGGAAAAGAUUCCUCCUUCACAAAUUGGGGGCUCGUCCGGGAUACCAGGAAAGGAAUGUAAUUACACUGGAGGAGCAUCUCUUACAGUCAGCGGCCGCAACUAAGUAAAAGGUGAGCAGAAAACCUCUUAACCAAAUUUUUGCAUGUCUUAUGAGACAUCUCGUGGCUGUGAGAGCAUGUUUCAACAGUAGUACUGUUUGUAAGAAUAAAACACAGAGAAUACGUACGGAUUAGUCUACCAGAGAAGGGUUUAGAAGGUCCCCUCGUCCAGAUAGUCAGGCUGGAUAUUGCCUGAUUGGCUGGAUGUAAAAGCUGCCCUCUGAGUUUAUGAGAAAAGGCCAGAAAAGAAGAUAAGAUAAGAAAAAGGGCCGAGUGCACGGUUAAGAGGCCGGAGGGGUCUGAUCAGCCCCCAAAAAGGACCGCCGUCUAGGAGUUAAGGGUUUAGAAGGUCCCCUUUGUCUAAAUAUUCAGGCUCGUAGAUCGCCUAUGUAUUCAGAGAAUAGAAGCUGCCACUCCGAACGCCCUGUAGCCAGACUAAACGAGUUAGGGUUUAAAAGGUCUCCCUUUGUCGGAAUAUCUAGGCUUGUAGAUCGCCUAGGUAUUCAGACAAUUAAAGCUACCACUCUGAGUGUCUGAGUAGAUAAGACUAAAAGAGUUAGGGUUUAAAAGGUCUCCCUUUGUCGGAAUAUCUAGGCUUGUAGAUCGCCUAGGUAUUCAAACAAUAAAAGCCACCACUCUGAGGGUCUUGAGUAGAAGAGACUAGGAAUCAGGGUUUAAAAGGCCUCCCUUUGUUUGAAUACUUAGGCAUGUGGAUCCCCUGGGUGUUCAAAGAAAAAAAGCUGCCACUCCGAGUGCUCGAGUAGAACAGACUAGGAGUUAGGGUUUAGAAGGCCCCCUUUGUCUGAAUAUUUAGGCAGUGGAUCCCCUGGAUAUUCAGAGAAUAAAAGCUACCACUUCGAUGUCUGAGUAGAUAGAUAGAUUACUUAAUUCAUCCCCGAAGGGAAAUGAGGUAAGGGAGUAGGAAUAGGAGAAGUACAGGAGAAGAAUUUAGAGGUCUCUCAUUCAGACGAUUUGGGCCCGAUAUUGCCUGUGUGUCUGAGUGUAAAAGACACCCUCUGAGGUAAUAGAAUAAAAAAAUAAGAAAUCAUUAUAAAAUAGCAGAAAUAGAGAAAGAUAAAAGAGCCUAGGAGGUUUAUGUAGGUAUUAAAAAGGUGUUUUUUGUUUUUACUGUUGUGAGUGAGAUCUUCAGAGCAUGCCGAAGCAGCGGGUGGACGGAAACCUAACAGUGAUAACAUAAGUCCACUGUCUGUUGAAGUAAGCUGUUCAAUGGUCUAAAUAAGCUCUGGUGUCGUGACCGGGUCCUUACGUGAAUGGUCACUUGGGCUGAGAACUCGGGACAUAGUGUGCCGUACCUCUCAGCUGGCCAGAGUGUGUGAAUGAGAACACAGUAUGUGUGAUUCAGGACACAGCUGAACCAGGGACUUUAGGAGCCCAUAUAAAGGAAAGGAGGGACAGAAUAAAAGGAUCCUUCCUGGAGAAGAGAGCAAAACAGUAGCUUAAAGAUUUUGAAAAAUGGUGCAGAGACGUAACAACAGAUGGUCUGUUCGGUGGCUUAGGGGGGGCCCCCCCACCGACAACCACUCUAUACGGGAACUCUCUAAAAUAUAAAAACCAAACAAAGACAAUUGAUUCAGCUGAUGACACAAUUUGAAAAAUCGGGAAGGUUAUCAAAGGGAAAGAAAGAAAAUUAAUGAAGAACUCUAAUGAACAAUAUAGCCCAAAUAAUUUGUUUGUACUGAUGCCACAAAUGAUUGUAACCAAAGGCAUGCUUACAUGUGAAUUAAAAACCCACGCCAGAGGAGGCUGUUGAGCAAGCAUAUAAAGAAGCGGUAAGAGAUGAGCAGUUAAAAGAAAUGAAAAGUACGUUGAAUGAAUUAAAAGAUGAGACUCCAAAUUAACCGUUAAAGCCAGUGAAGUAGAGUCAAGGACAGAGUAUGGAGACACAGGAGGGAGUGAGGGAGAUAGAGCAUGGGGGUUAAGAAAGUGGAUGACAGGGACAUGAUAAGAUAUCUGGAAGAACAAACAACCAAACCAUAUGAUACAACACAACUAACAAAGGUCCUGAAACAGUUGGGAGAGCAAGCCACAGAACGGAUAGAAGCCUUGGAAGGAUUAGAACACGGGCCGCAACACAGUUGUAACAAACCGCGUCCUAAACACACUAGUACAGAAACAAAAAUUAUGGAGCCAGACCGAAAACAAGCUGUUCUGUUUUACAAUUGGACAGCGACACAGAACAAGGGGGGGGCUACACCAACAUACAUGCUGUAUCCACGUGACUUGACCCAAGAUACAGAACGGGUAUAUGGACAAAAAAGGGACAGGUCAUUAUUAGCUGAGGUCUGGACAGAAGAAUGAGGCUCCUGAUCAGUUCCCCCUGAUAGAAACUAGGACCAGUGUGGGACAAAUAAAGGAGAGACAGUACAACCCACUGUCCUAUGCAGACCAAGCACUGCUAAAAACCACACUGCCAGAAGCCACAAACGGAGGAAAUAACUGGAUAAGAGAAUUUCUAAAAACCUUUAGUGGGCAGGUGCUGGCCAUGGGAGACGUAAAAGCGUGUUUGGUUGCACACUUGGAACCCCAUGAAUUAGCCCGGUUGGAAACAGUCGCCGGAACCGUACAGGUCGUUACAGCGGAACCUCUUGAAUGCCUGGCCCCCAGGCUCUGGGUGGCUUUGAGAACUCAAUACCCAGUAAAAACUGACUCUAAUCAAAUGAAAGAUAUCUACAAAAAGCCCAGGGAAGCAGGGAAGGAGUAUAUAAACCGUUAGUAAAAACUAUGGGAGGGUUACACAGGGUCCAGCCCAUUAGCUGACUCGCUACAGAGACUGUUUAAGCAAGCCGUGAUAAAAGGACAAACAGGUGCGGUUAGAGAAGAAAUGGAGAAAUUGGUAAUCGGAAACAGCAUGCCCCUGGAAAUGUGGAUUGUCACUUUGGUUCACCACUUAGAUCGGGAAGAUGAGAGUAAAAAGAGACAUACAGGGAGUUUGAAAAACUUAAUAUGCAGCUGCUGCAAGAACAGUUGAAGGAGCUGAAAGACAAGGUCACUGAUAAAAUUAAAGAAACCAAAAAGAUUAAAGCCCAAAUGCCUGCUGUAUCUACAGCUCUGCUUAGUGGCCAAAUUCAAAUACCCCUGCCAGCAGAUGAAGGGCCGGUACGCAUAUAUCAAAUGUAUCAACAAUAUCCCCCAGGUGGCCAAUACAGGGGAAGCUAAGAACUUAGGACCUAUGAUAACACAAGCUAUUGAUGCAAAUGAUUGGCAGGCAGUGACAGGGACCACGCUAAUGGAAUACAGUCCCUCUUGUAAAUGCUACAAGCUAAAGUAUAAUGGAACAAUGCCAGAGAAAACACUGACUCUGAAUUGGCUAUGCAACUCUUGAAACAAAUACCAGACGAAGUGUGGGCAACUGGACCUUUUGAUGUAGGACAUUGCAGAGAAAUACCUCCUAUCAUACUACAGAUGAAAACACCAGAGAUCAUAAACCAACCUCAAUAUCCCCUAUCGAGUGAGAAGGUAAAUGGAAUCAGUGGAACGAUUGAAAGCCUGCUUAAAGCUGGAGUAUUGAUACCAUGUAAGUCCGAUUACAACACACCUAUCACUCCCGUGGCUAAACCAGGGAGGGAAGAUCAUAGGUUAGUGCACGAUCUCAGAAAAAUAAAUGCAGGAUUAAAGACUUCACAUUUUGAGACACCCAACCCAUACACAAUGCUCUGUAAUCUAGAUCAAAAAUUUAAAUGGUUUAUGGUGAUGGAUCUAUCAAAUGCAUUCUUCUGCAUCCCUAUAGCGCCAGAGUGUAGACACCUGUUUGCGUUCACUUUUGAAGGGAAGCAAUAUACCUAUAUUAGAUUACCACAAGGCCUCACGGAUAGUCCUUCCCUGUUUAACCACUCACUAUGGGUUCUAAGGUCCAAAUUCCAAAUUCCAAAAUCUGUUGUAUAUUGCAAUAUGUUGAUGACAUUCUAAUCUCAGGCGAGACUGAGGAAAACGUAGCACAACUGACAACCACUUUGCUUACAUGGUUAGGGGAGAAAGGGUUACAUAUCAGAGUAUGCUGAAACUGGGUCCCCUUUAAGGAGACUCAUUACAGAUACAGGACAUAGCCAGCUAAAAGCUAACCUUACCUGGACUAAGGAAGCAGAAGAGGGCUUCAUCACCUUAAAACAACAGCUAGCACAGGCUAGUGAGCUCGCCGCUCCUGAUUUGGGGAAAAUGUUUGAACUUGAUGUGAAAGAAAAAGAUGGUUUUGUGAGCCCCGCACUGUGGCAGCCCGGAGCUCAAGGGAGGACCGUGUUAUGCUAUUAUAGCACUAAAUUAGAACCAGUGGAAAAAGACCAUCCUACUUGCACCAGAGCACCAUGUGCUAUAGCUAAAACACCAAAAGGGACAGCUCACAUCACACGAGGACAGGACAUCACAGUACACAUAAGCCAUGCGGUAACAAGCUACAUUUAAAGCCAAAAUGUUCACCUUAAGCCAACAAAGGACCAGUAGAAUGCAUUAUGUCAGUUCAUGAAGGAAGAAAUGAAUGAGACUAUGAAACAGAAAGUCAUUAGUGAAGUAAGAGUAUGUAAGAGUAUGUAAGAGAAUGAGUACGUUGAGUAUGCAAGCUAAAGCAGCCCCUCAUGAAAAACAGGCGUGGGUUGACAAAAGAGAAAAAAAAAUGUGAAAUAACAGGCAUAUGGAGGUCACAUGAUGGGAGAAUUGUUACCUCCUCUACCUUACUGAUGAUGUUAUGUGAAGAGGGACAUAAAAGGGGACAUCAAUCAGGGAGAAGGCUUACUGAAAUGAUAGGGGGAAAAAUGGUGGCAUCCCUAUCUAUCAGAAGUGUGUAAAUAUUUUGUAGAUACAUGUUCCAGUUACUCCAAGUUUAACCCACGAGCAACUCUUAAGAUGGGGAUGGGAGCGUUUCCCGUCCCAAACAGACCAUGGCAAGAAGUGGUGAUUGACUUCACAGACAUGGGAAUUAAUCAAAGAGUAAAAGGCUGUAGAUAUUUGCUUGUUUGUGUUGAUACUUUUUCUAGAUGGGUGGAAGCUAAACCCACCACAACUGAAACAGCUCAAGAGGUCAUAAAUUGGUUGAUAUAUGACUUAAUACCUUGCUACAGGGUCCUAGAAAGUAUCUGUUCGGAUAAUGGGACCCAUUUUAUAGAAGAGUCCUUAAAGUUGGACAGAGGCUAAACCUCUGGUCCUAUUCCCAUUGAGAUCCAGCCCAAGUGACACAACAGGACUCUCGCCUCACGAGCUGAAGAAAAAUGCCCUGUCCAUUCACAAAUAACCUACAUAGUGGUGAAGCUCCUGACCUGGCCAGUCAGGAGAAAGAGAUGCAGGAAGCAGUUUAGUUUUUGUCUCCCUGGAUACAGAAAAUCCUUAAAAAAGGAGCCCACUGGAGCUCCACCAGAGGAGAUAAAAGAAGGAGAGUGGAUUUACAGAAGAGUGUUCCACAGGACGUGGGAGGAGCCAAGGUGGAUCGGCCCGUUCAAGGUAGUAUCAUCAACUACAUAUGGUGUGAGAGUCUGACUGGAUGAGGAGCAGACUAAGCUAAGUAAAUAUUGGCGCAAAACACACUGUAGAAAAGGACUGCCGUCCACAGAGAGAAACCUUAGAGAAAUCAGAAAGCACCUAAGGGACAUAGGCGAAGAGACAGAGGGAGAAUAAGAUGAUGACCUACAGGUCAUGGCUUACACUGGCCUGUUUGGCAGUGGUAAGUCUAAUAGCGGCCGUGCUGUUAGUAUGGCUAAAUGUAGAGGAGAGAUCACAGAUUAAGGAAAAGGAUGCUGUAAGUAUCCGCCACAAAAUAAUUAUUCCAACAGGGGGACCUAAAAUUUGAACACGAUGAGAAACUCACCAAGAUCAAUAUAUACAGAAGUACGAGUGCUUGAGCUUUAUUAUGAACGGGGUACCAGAUAAGUAUAAAUUAGCUGAUCAGAUCGCAGCCGGGUGGGGAAUCCACAUUCCUCUGGAUCACCCCUAACAAAAAUGUGAAGGGAAUAAAUUAUUUACAUUACAAUAUCUAGAGAUUGGCAAACUAUACAAGAGAUGGGUCUCUUACUGCACACCAGAAUAGACUUGCUUCUGCUCUGAUCCUGACUGAAAAGGGAGGUGUCUGUAGCAUGUUUGGAGAAGUGUGCUGUACAUUCAUCCCCUUCAAUACUGCCCCUGAUGGAUCCCUGACCAAAACCUUGAGAGGCCUUAGAGCCCUCUCGAAUGAAUUAAAAGAACAUUCUGGGGUCACAGACCCCUUAUCUGGCCUGUUUGACAAAAUCUUUGGUAAAUUGGGAAAAAUUAGUAGUUAGCGUAGCUACCUCACUGGCUAUUGCAUUUGUGGUGGUUGCUCUGUGUGGUUGUUGUUGUAUCCCAUGUACUAGGGCUCUCAUCGUGCGGUGUAUCGACAAGGCGCUGGGGAAUAUGGAGUUCAAGGGAGCGCCACCAGCGCAUCAGAUGAACCUAGCAGAGGGCGUGCCUCUGCUUGAUCCAAGUGCUGAGAUACAGGAGAGGCCAUUCCAAUAUUCAGAUGGGGACUCUGACAAUGAGCCUGACCUGGAUGAUGUAAUAAGUGGUGAGAGCUGAUUUCAUGUCAUAAAUCGGUGGUUUAACUGGUGGCCACUCCUUUCCAUGCUGAACUGUUUAGGGAAGCAGUGCGCUCUGCAGUACAAGAAACCUUAGUCAAAGAACCCAAUGUUGAGCAGCUACCAAGGUGCAGUGGAAAGGCACUCAGUACAAAAGGGGACUCCUGUGUUUAAACCAAGUCCUCCUAGUCAUGGAUGCAGAGAGUCCGCUUCUGUCUUUCAUCAAAUCAGUGCCUAAACUGAGAGACCCUAAGCGUUUGCUGGAGCAUCUGCAAUGUUUAGGAGUUGAGGACCUGAGCUACCUGCAGGAUAGUGACCUCCUUUCUGUCCUGAAGUAGCAACACCUGAUCUGCUGAAACAAGCCGUGCAGAAAAUGAGAACAUUUAAUAAGGACAUGGGUGAAGGACCAUACGUCUUUUUGUAUCCUGACUGCUCAGAGGUGGGCCAUGUGCCUGGGACAGAAAGGCCAUUCAAAUUGACUGAAUAUAAAAAGGAAAAUGGGAAGGCAUAUUGCAGGAUCACUUUUUUCCUUUGCCUAGAAACACACUUUAAAGGAGUGGAUGAUACCCCAGACUCUGAUUCCUCAGAUUCUGAAAUUGUGAUCACAUCCAGCAGCAUAGCUCAAUUCAAUCGGGCUGACACUGUGGUGUUUGAACCACAAAACCAAAGUACACCCAAGCGCAAACCUGAAGAUAAAGGAGAUGCUCCUGGGAAUUCAAGCACAGUUCAACCUGGACAGAUUCAAAGAUGGUCUUCCAGCCCUUAAGUUUUUCACUGUAGUUAAGCAACACCUUGCUUUGUUGUCCCCUGUCCUGACCCACUCGGAAAAGGGGCAAAAUGCUCUUGAACUUGAGAGACUCUUCAAACCUGAUCUCAGUCCACCAGGGAAUAACAGGAGACUUAAAGAAAGUGAAACUUUGGGCUACUGGAUGAACUAUCUCCUUGACUGUGAAGAAGGUCAGGCUGCUGUAUCUGUGGAAGAUGUUUUCAUGUUUGCAACUGGACUGACGUCACUUCCCCCAUCUGGAUUGGAACCAUCAACAAGAAUAGAGUUCCUGGAUGACUUUCCAUUCCCAAGGGCAAAAACAUUUUGCCCCAAAAAUUCCCCAGGAUUUGGAUGUUUUUAAGCCAUGAGGUGACCCCUGGGGACUCUGAAAAGGUUGUUAUUAAAGGUUAAGAAUCUUUAAAAUGUAAAGAUAUGUGAGCUUGUUUUUUUCUCACAGUUAACAUUUUGGCCAUUCUACUUUAGACAAAAUAAACAAAAAAGAAGUCCAAGGAAGAAGGCCAAAAGGUUUUUGAUCUUUGUACUUACAAAAAUGUAAUAAAUAUGCAUUACUUUA